AUAUAUAUAUAUAUAUAUAUAUAUAUAUCCCUUAAAGUCAUUUUAUUUUAGAUUUAGUCAAAUUCUAGGUUUAUAUUAAUACAAACUAAAUGGAAUUAUUAAUAGAAAUGAACACUGCCAAACUGUUGUGCUGCCAAAUUUUGUAAACGUUUUCCUGUGUUUGGGUGAUUGUAAAACAGGCUUCGAUGUUGUUGCUUCAUUUACAAACUCAUAUUAAUACAACUACAUGGUUAUAUGCAACUUAUUGGAUAUGUUCAUUUAUACAAUAUUUUGGUAUUAGUGAUCUUUCCUGAUUCAAUCCAGUUAUACUUUACUGUAGGCGGGGCUUCACACCAAAAAACCAUAACACAUUUAUAGUAUAAUGCCUUCAUAUGCCCUACAUAAACAUUCACGUUUAUGCUCAACUGCAGGUUGGUAGAUGUCACUGCAUUAUCUUAUGGCAACUUGCGGUUGAUAAGCUUAGCUGACAUUUGCAUGUAUAAAUGCUUAUGUAGUGAUUAUGACAGUGUUAGGAACUGCUAUGAAUGUGCUAUGUAGCCCUAUGUAUGUAAAGCCCCAUACACUACAAUGUUAAGUAUCCCCUGUUUUCUGUGGUAUUGGCUCUAGCUCUACUCUCUGCCAAACAAGGUGAAAGAUUGAGAUGACAGAUGAAGAAUGGUUUACAUGCAUCCUGUAAUUUAUACAUCUUUCAAUGUAGCCAGUGUUGUUGAUCUGUUUGUUAAUAUUUUGGAUUUGAUUGAUGCUUCUGUCCAAUGUUGUUCACAAGAGUUGAAAUAUGUCGCUAUUUAUGUAUGGAUGUACAAAAUGAGAUUUAUCGUAAUAAACUGCAAAGUAACCUGGUGAAUGUUUGGGAUUACAACUGUGAUCUGCCAUUUCAGUUCAUAUAGACAUUUCAGUUAAUAUGGACAUUCCAGGUCAUAUAGCCAUUUUAGUUCAUACUACAUGGACAUUUCAGUUCAUUUAAAAUUUAAGUUCAUAGGGACACUUCAGUUGAUAUAGUC
This is a long non-coding RNA of Oncorhynchus tshawytscha (Chinook salmon), 1001 nucleotides long. The record is from Ensembl. Lineage: Eukaryota; Metazoa; Chordata; Actinopteri; Salmoniformes; Salmonidae.